AACGAGACCUUAACCUGCUAAAUAGCCAGGCUGGCUUUGGCUAGUCGCCGGCUUCUUAGAGGGACGGUCAGAAGCGAGCUGGCGGAAGGGGGAGGCAAGAAAAGGGCGGGGAGGCAAAAAGAUGUUCUGGGCCGCACGCGCGCUACACUGACAGAGCCAGCGAGUUAUUCACCUUGGGCGUAAGGUCUGGGUAAACUUGUGAAACUCU
Molecule: ribosomal RNA, 208 nt
Filed under: Agaricales sp.
Lineage: Eukaryota; Fungi; Basidiomycota; Agaricomycetes; Agaricales
Description: partial small subunit ribosomal RNA
Rfam family: Eukaryotic small subunit ribosomal RNA
Source: RNAcentral